UACGUAGGGUGCAAGCGUUGUCCGGAAUUAUUGGGCGUAAAGAGCUCGUAGGCGGUCUGUCACGUCGGGCGUGAAAUCCAGGCUUAACCCUGGACCUGCGUUCGAUACGGGCAGACUAGAGUUCGGUAGGGGAGACGUGGAAUUCCUGGUGUAGCGGUGAAAUGCGCAGAUAUCAGGAGGAACACCUAUUGCGAAGGCAGCUCGCUGGGACGUAACUGACGCUGAGACGCGAAGCGUGGGGAGCAAACAGG
RNAcentral lists this ribosomal RNA (251 nucleotides) under uncultured bacterium. RNAcentral's name for it is "partial 16S ribosomal RNA". It matches the Rfam family "Bacterial small subunit ribosomal RNA", at positions 524 to 776 of the family's 1533-position model. The record is from RNAcentral.